This 509-nucleotide ribosomal RNA is filed under the name uncultured bacterium. RNAcentral's name for it is "partial 16S ribosomal RNA". It matches the Rfam family "Bacterial small subunit ribosomal RNA", at positions 28 to 506 of the family's 1533-position model. The record is from RNAcentral.
GACGAACGCUGGCGGCGUGCUUAACACAUGCAAGUCGAACGAAGAGCGAUGGAAGCUUGCCUCUAUCAAUCUUAGUGGCGAACGGGUGAGUAACGCGUAAUCAACCUGCCCUUCAGAGGGGGACAACAGUUGGAAACGACUGCUAAUACCGCAUACGAUCUAAUCUCGGCAUCGAGGAAAGAUGAAAGGUGGCCUCUAUUUAUAAGCUAUCACUGAAGGAGGGGAUUGCGUCUGAUUAGCUAGUUGGAGGGGUAACGGCCCACCAAGGCGAUGAUCAGUAGCCGGUCUGAGAGGAUGAACGGCCACAUUGGGACUGAGACACGGCCCAGACUCCUACGGGAGGCAGCAGUGGGGAAUCUUCCGCAAUGGACGAAAGUCUGACGGAGCAACGCCGCGUGAGUGAUGACGGCCUUCGGGUUGUAAAGCUCUGUUAAUCGGGACGAAAGGCCUUCUUGCGAACAGUUAGAAGGAUUGACGGUACCGGAAUAGAAAGCCACGGCUAACUACGU